This 512-nucleotide ribosomal RNA is filed under the name Zenodorus papuanus. RNAcentral's name for it is "partial 16S ribosomal RNA". The stretch from base 125 to 419 matches the Rfam family "Bacterial large subunit ribosomal RNA", at positions 2074 to 2646 of the family's 2925-position model. The record is from RNAcentral. Lineage: Eukaryota; Metazoa; Arthropoda; Arachnida; Araneae; Salticidae.
GUGCUAAGGUAGCAUAAUAAUUUGUCUCUUAAAUAGAGACCAGAACAAAAGAUUUAACAUUUAAAUUCACUUAUUUUUUUUAAAAACUUAAAUUUUUCUAAGUGUAAAAAAACACUUAUAUAAAAGAAAGACGACAAGACCCUAUUGAACUUAACUAUAGUUUAACUGGGGAAGUUAAUCAAUUAAUAUUUUAUUUUUUAUUAACCUAAAAAUAUCCAACACUAUKGAUUUAUUUAGUUACCAUAGGGAUAACAGCGCAAUUAUAUUUUUAAGUCCUUAUUUAAAAUAUAGAUUACGACCUCGAUGUUGAAUUAAUAACCUAGUUUAAGAAAAUUUUUAAAAAGGAAGUCUGUUCGACUUUUAAAAAAUUACAUGAUUUGAGUUCAGACCGGUAUAAGCCAGGUCGGUUUCCAUCUUCUAUAAAAAUCCUUACAGUACGAAAGGGCCUAAAGAUAUAAUUAAAUUAAUUUAUUAGCAAAUAAAUGCAUUAGAAUUAGAAUCUAAUUAAACUA